UACGUAGGGUGCGAGCGUUAAUCGGAAUUACUGGGCGUAAAGCGUGCGCAGGCGGUGAGCUGUGUCCGAUGUGAAAGCCCCGGGCUCAACCUGGGAAUGGCAUUCGGGACUGCAAGGCUGGAGUGCGGCAGAGGAGACUGGAAUUCCUGGUGUAGCAGUGAAAUGCGUAGAUAUCAGGAGGAAUACCGAUGGCGAAGGCAGGUCUCUGGGCUGACACUGACGCUCAUGCACGAAAGCGUGGGGAGCAAACAGG
This 253-nucleotide ribosomal RNA is filed under the name uncultured bacterium. Its description in RNAcentral is "partial 16S ribosomal RNA". It matches the Rfam family "Bacterial small subunit ribosomal RNA", at positions 524 to 776 of the family's 1533-position model. The record is from RNAcentral.